This 250-nucleotide unclassified non-coding RNA is filed under the name Hevea brasiliensis (rubber tree). Lineage: Eukaryota; Viridiplantae; Streptophyta; Magnoliopsida; Malpighiales; Euphorbiaceae. The record is from RNAcentral.
AUAAUAAAGAGGUUGAGAAUAAGUGCACUCAUUAUUUUGAGUUAAAAAUCCAAAAUCUCCUGCAAACACUCACUGGAGUAGUUCGGAUCUGUUUUCAGAAAUAGAUACUUGAAGCUCAAAAGUGAGAUCGGAGAUGCUUGACGGUAUACUAACCCGUGGUUUCAGCUCCAAAUGCAAAUCGCUAGUAAAGGCUACAAGGACGAGAAUCGAGGUGGUGAGACGGAGAGCUGAGUCGAAACAGAGGUUUUUG